GACGAACGCUGGCGGCGUGCUUAACACAUGCAAGUCGAACGGAAAGGCCCUGCUUUUGUGGGGUGCUCGAGUGGCGAACGGGUGAGUAACACGUGAGUAACCUGCCCUUGACUUUGGGAUAACUUCAGGAAACUGGGGCUAAUACCGGAUAGGAGCUCCUGCUGCAUGGUGGGGGUUGGAAAGUUUCGGCGGUUGGGGAUGGACUCGCGGCUUAUCAGCUUGUUGGUGGGGUAGUGGCUUACCAAGGCUUUGACGGGUAGCCGGCCUGAGAGGGUGACCGGCCACAUUGGGACUGAGAUACGGCCCAGACUCCUACGGGAGGCAGCAGUGGAGAAUAUUGCACAAUGGGCGGAAGCCUGAUGCAGCAACGCCGCGUGCGGGAUGACGGCCUUCGGGUUGUAAACCGCUUCCGCCUGUGACGAAGCGUGAGUGACGGUAAUGGGUAAAGAAGCACCGGCUAACUACGUG
Molecule: ribosomal RNA, 468 nt
Filed under: uncultured bacterium
Lineage: Bacteria
Description: partial 16S ribosomal RNA
Rfam family: Bacterial small subunit ribosomal RNA
Source: RNAcentral